This is a long non-coding RNA of Mirounga angustirostris (Northern elephant seal), 511 nucleotides long. RefSeq lists it as uncharacterized. Lineage: Eukaryota; Metazoa; Chordata; Mammalia; Carnivora; Phocidae. The transcript has 4 exons. The record is from RefSeq and is a predicted model, not a curated record.
UAUGGAGUGAGACUCUUCAUCUUUCCCCAGCAAGCAAUCAGGACUCACACCUGAGUCAGAAAAAACAUGAAGUUCUUCAGCAGAGUAUGAUAAGCAUUAAAAUAGGAUGAAAAUCUCUGGCGGAAUUGGGAUGAAAAUGCAGAUUCAAGGAGAAAUAUGAACAAUAUAAGAUUUCUGUUGAUAAAGAAGAGCCUGUUAGGUAUUUUUUAAACAGCUGAUGCAGACCUUAGGAUCCUUGUGAAAUGUGAACAUGGGAAGAUCUUCCCCGAUGGCCCAAGUCCAAAGCUCCAGAGGCCGGGUAGAAGCAAUGACACACAACUCCACAAGAUGCCAGGUUGUGGGGCCCAGCAGAGCCCAAGAAGGCUGACCCCUGUCUCCAGUGUAUAGAAAUGCAACAGAUUUCAGAAAAGACCCCGAAUAGCCAGAGGUAUGUUGAAAAAGAAAAGCAAAGCUGGUGGCAUCACAAUUCUUGACUUCAAGCUCUAUUACAAAGCUGUCAUCAUCAAGACAG